RNAcentral lists this unclassified non-coding RNA (509 nucleotides) under Hevea brasiliensis (rubber tree). The record is from RNAcentral. Lineage: Eukaryota; Viridiplantae; Streptophyta; Magnoliopsida; Malpighiales; Euphorbiaceae.
GGGAAAUCCAGAUCUUUGUAGUGACAAUUUUGGUAGUCUCAUGCCAUGUUCAUCAGAUACGCACACAUCUAAAGACCACAGGACAGUCGUGUUGUGCUUGAUAGCUGGGGUGGUGGUUCUUGUUCUGUCACUUACAGGUUUCAUUUAUGUGAAGUUUAAGCACAAUAAUCAGGAUAUUCCCGUAAAGAGACUUGAUUCUUGGGAUAUCAAACAGUUCCAUGUAUUGAGCUUUAGUGAAGAUCAAGUCAUGAAGGCACUGAAGCAAGAAAAUUUGAUUGGUAGAGGUGGUUCAGGGAAUGUGUACAGAUUAGUCUUGAACUGUGGAAAACAGUUGGCCGUGAAACACAUUAUAAAAUCCGAUUGUGGUGACCAGAAAAGUUACCGGAGCAGCUCAGCCAUACUGGUGAAGGAGAAUCACAGAUCAAAAGAGUAUGAUGCUGAGGUGACCACGUUAAGUUCCAUUAGGCAUGUCAAUGUUGUCAAAUUGUACUGUAGCAUCACAAGUGAGG